This 253-nucleotide ribosomal RNA is filed under the name uncultured bacterium. Its description in RNAcentral is "partial 16S ribosomal RNA". It matches the Rfam family "Bacterial small subunit ribosomal RNA", at positions 524 to 776 of the family's 1533-position model. The record is from RNAcentral.
UACGAAGGGUGCGAGCGUUAUUCGGAAUGAUUGGGCGUAAAGGGUGCGCAGACGGCAUGUUAAGUCAACUGUUAAAUAUUCUGGCCUAACUGGAAUUCGGCGGUAGAAACUGGCGUGCUUGAGGAUGGAAGAGAGAAGUGGAAUUCUCGGAGUAGCGGUAAAAUGCGUAGAUCUCGAGAGGAACACCGAUGGCGAAGGCAGCUUCUUGGUCCAUUCCUGACGUUCAUGCACGAAAGCGUGGGGAGCAAACAGG